Vulpes vulpes (red fox) is the source of this 126-nucleotide small nucleolar RNA. Its record names the gene SNORA72. It matches the Rfam family "Small nucleolar RNA SNORA72". Rfam says of the family: U72 is a member of the H/ACA class of snoRNAs. The snoRNA gene is located in intron 4 of the ribosomal L30 protein gene in human, mouse and chicken. Lineage: Eukaryota; Metazoa; Chordata; Mammalia; Carnivora; Canidae. The record is from Ensembl.
CUGCAAAUAUUCCUGCUGUUCUGAUUUUGUAACAAUUAGUUCAACAUUUGCUAUAUUAAAACCAUGCAUGUGUUCCCAGACCUACUUCUUUCCCUGGGUCUGAUUUUAUAAACGCUGGUGAUAAAA